GAUAACCGGUGGUGUCGUCAUAGGUGGAGAAGUCGACGAGCGUGCCGAGCAUCUGGAGAUAGGCGAUGAGCGCAUCCAUCUCGCUCAGCCGCUGCGGA
RNAcentral lists this small RNA (98 nucleotides) under Sinorhizobium meliloti 2011. RNAcentral's name for it is "putative ncRNA". The record is from RNAcentral. Lineage: Bacteria; Pseudomonadati; Pseudomonadota; Alphaproteobacteria; Hyphomicrobiales; Rhizobiaceae.